CCAGACUCCUACGGGAGGCAGCAGUGGGGAAUAUUGCACAAUGGGGGAAACCCUGAUGCAGCGACGCCGCGUGGGUGAAGAAGUAUUUCGGUAUGUAAAGCUCUAUCAGCAGGGAAGAUAAUGACGGUACCUGAGUAAGAAGCCCCGGCUAACUACGUGCCAGCAGCCGCGGUAAUACGUAGGGGGCAAGCGUUAUCCGGAUUUACUGGGUGUAAAGGGAGCGUAGACGGCAUGGCAAGUCUGAAGUGAAAGCCCGGGGCUCAACCGCGGGACUGCUUUGGAAACUGUUAAGCUGGAGUGCAGGAGAGGUAAGUGGAAUUCCUAGUGUAGCGGUGAAAUGCGUAGAUAUUAGGAGGAACACCAGUGGCGAAGGCGGCUUACUGGACUGUAACUGACGUUGAGGCACGAAAGUGUGGGGAGCAAACAGGAUUAGAUACCCUUGUA
Molecule: ribosomal RNA, 444 nt
Filed under: uncultured bacterium
Lineage: Bacteria
Description: bacterial SSU rRNA
Rfam family: Bacterial small subunit ribosomal RNA
Source: RNAcentral